CACGUAGGGCGCAAGCGUUGUCCGGAAUUAUUGGGCGUAAAGAGCUCGUAGGCGGUCUGUUGCGUCCGCUGUGAAAACUGGGCUUAACCCCGAGCCUGCAGUGGAUACGGGCAGACUAGAGGUAGGUAGGGGAGAAUGGAAUUCCCGGUGUAGCGGUGAAAUGCGCAGAUAUCGGGGAGGAACACCGGUGGCGAAGGCGGUUCUCUGGGCCUU
Molecule: ribosomal RNA, 213 nt
Filed under: uncultured bacterium
Lineage: Bacteria
Description: partial 16S ribosomal RNA
Rfam family: Bacterial small subunit ribosomal RNA
Source: RNAcentral